RNAcentral lists this ribosomal RNA (517 nucleotides) under Proteus mirabilis. Its description in RNAcentral is "partial 23S ribosomal RNA". It matches the Rfam family "Bacterial large subunit ribosomal RNA", at positions 1 to 560 of the family's 2925-position model. The record is from RNAcentral. Lineage: Bacteria; Pseudomonadati; Pseudomonadota; Gammaproteobacteria; Enterobacterales; Morganellaceae.
UUAAGCGAAUAAGCGUACACGGUGGAUGCCUAGGCAAUCAGAGGCGAUGAAGGACGUGCUAAUCUGCGAAAAGCGUCGGUAAGGUGAUAUGAACCGUUAUACCCGACGAUAUCCGAAUGGGGAAACCCAGUAUCCAAUGGAUACUAUCAUUAACUGAAUCCAUAGGUUAAUGAGGCGAACCGGGAGAACUGAAACAUCUCAGUACCCCGAGGAAAAGAAAUCAACCGAGAUUCCCCUAGUAGCGGCGAGCGAACGGGGAGCAGCCCAGAGUCUUAAUCAAUAGCAGUGUCAGGAGAACGGUCUGGAAAGUCCGGCAGUAAAGGGUGAUAGCCCCGUAUCUGAAGAUGCUGUUAUUGUGAACUCGACGAGUAGGGCGGGACACGUGUUAUCCUGUCUGAAUAUGGGGGGACCAUCCUCCAAGGCUAAAUACUCCUGAUUGACCGAUAGUGAACCAGUACCGUGAGGGAAAGGCGAAAAGAACCCCGGCGAGGGGAGUGAAAAAGAACCUGAAACCGUG